GACGAACGCUGGCGGCGUGCUUAACACAUGCAAGUCGAACGGCAAGGCCCUGCUUUUUUGGUGUUCUCGAGUGGCGAACGGGUGCGUAACACGUGAGUAUCCUGCUCUUGACUUUGGGAUAACUUCAGGAAACUGGGGCUAAUACCGGAUCGGAUCUCCUGCUGCAUUGUGGGGGUUGGAUCGUUUCGGCGGUUGGGGAUGGACUCGCGGCUUACCGGCUUGUUGGUGGGGUAGUGGCUUACCAAGGCUGUGACGGGUAGGCGGCCUGAGAGGGUGACCGGCCACAUUGGGACUGAGAUAGGGCCCAGACUCCUACGGGAGGCAGCAGUGGGGAAUAUGGCACAGUGGGCGGAAGCCUGAGGAAGAAACGCCGCGUGCGGGAUGACGGCCUUCGGGGUGUAAAACGCUUUCGCUUGUGACGAAGCGGGAGUGACGGUAAUGGGUAAAGAAGCACCGGCUAACUACGUG
RNAcentral lists this ribosomal RNA (468 nucleotides) under uncultured bacterium. Its description in RNAcentral is "partial 16S ribosomal RNA". It matches the Rfam family "Bacterial small subunit ribosomal RNA", at positions 28 to 507 of the family's 1533-position model. The record is from RNAcentral.